CUGGGUGACAGAGCGAGACUCCAUCUCAAAAAAAUUAAUAAAUAAUAAUAAUAGUCACCCUUCCACCUCCAUAGCACAGCUACGUCAUGAACUGACACCUUAAAACUUUGUUCUGUUUUCAAUUAUCUCUUGGUUUCUGAUGCCUGGGUAUUUCUUUUUCUUUCUUGAGAGCUUAAGCAUGAAUAUAAAACAUUUCAAAUUUUAUAUUUUAUCCAGUAUUUCUAGCUUUUUAAUAGUGAGAUUUAUCUUACUCUCCCAUUUUAUUAAAACAGAAAGUCUUGAGUAACAUUUUAAUACUGAGAAAAAAAGCCUCAUUAUUAGUUUUAGAAAAAGAGAGACAAUCUGUGUUGUUCUGGAACCAAGACAAAGUUCUAGAAGAUUCUCUCUUGAUCCUUAAACAGCAUAGAAAAACCAGGUAAGUUGACUAUGUUCACGUUUAGGAGUAUGAUGGCCAAUGGAUCCAAAACCUAUCCUAUAUCUACAUGUUGGUGGCCACAUUAAUCUGACAUCUGACAGCAAGAGCGAUGAUUGGGUUCACUGGAAAUCUUUGUGAAGUACGAGUGAAGUCCUUGUGAAGUCAGAGUUUCCUCUUCAUGCCUCUACUCCUAUGCAGUUUGACCUCUCAGUGUGCAGCUGGUGAUAGAUGGAAACCCUUGUUCAUAAGCUUUGUGGCACUGUCGGCAGGAUGAGGGGACUUCUGGAUCCUCACUGGUCACUGUGGCAGAGUGGUUGGUGUUGUCUGCUCCCUAGACAGGAACCCACUGAAGAAUCUGACAUUUUUUGAUAUGCUGGCAUUCAUUGUUACAGCCCAUCAUCCCAGCCAUCAAUCCAGGACAUGGGGUCUGUGCCCACGGUGGGAAGGAGGAGGGGGAAGCUGGCUUUGUUCUGACGUUGGGCUUCUUCUGCUCCACCAGUACUUUCUGUGGGGGAAAUAGGUAAAGAAAUGGCUGUUCAGAUGAGAAGAUGUGUCAGUAAACUUUUGCUACAGUGAUGCUGCAAAACAAAUCACUGGUGACUUUCAGUGGCACACAGCAAUAAACAUUUAUUUAGCUCAGGGAUUGACAAUCUUUUUUUUUUUUUAAAGGGCCAAAUAGUAAAUAUUUUAGGUGUUUCAGGCCAUACAGUCUCUGAACUCUGAACUUGUAGCACAACAGUAGCCUUAGAUGCUAUGCAAAUGGAGGAGCAUGACUGUGUUCCAAUAAAACUUUAUUUAUGGACACUAAAA
RNAcentral lists this long non-coding RNA (1225 nucleotides) under Homo sapiens (human). Its description in RNAcentral is "long intergenic non-protein coding RNA 2615". Lineage: Eukaryota; Metazoa; Chordata; Mammalia; Primates; Hominidae. The record is from RNAcentral.